This 106-nucleotide non-coding RNA is filed under the name Yersinia bercovieri. RNAcentral describes it as "Yersinia sRNA 224". It matches the Rfam family "Yersinia sRNA 224". The record is from RNAcentral. Lineage: Bacteria; Pseudomonadati; Pseudomonadota; Gammaproteobacteria; Enterobacterales; Yersiniaceae.
AGAUUAUUAACAAAGUUUCAGUGGCGGAGAGAACAGGCAGAUAGUAAAGAUGCCGUCAAUCCAUCCAUGGAGGCUUGAGCCGCGCCAUUAGUGGCGCGGAUGCUUU